GAACCUGCCUCAAAGAGGGGGACAACAGUUGGAAACGACUGCUAAUACCGCAUAAGCCCACGGGUCGGCAUCGACCAGAGGGAAAAGGAGCAAUCCGCUUUGAGAUGGCCUCGCGUCCGAUUAGCUAGUUGGUGAGGUAAUGGCCCACCAAGGCGACGAUCGGUAGCCGGACUGAGAGGUUGAACGGCCACAUUGGGACUGAGACACGGCCCAGACUCCUACGGGAGGCAGCAGUGGGGAAUAUUGCACAAUGGGGGAAACCCUGAUGCAGCGACGCCGCGUGGAGGAAGAAGGUCUUCGGAUUGUAAACUCCUGUUGUUGAGGAAGAUAAUGACGGUACUCAACAAGGAAGUGACGGCUAACUACGUGCCAGCAGCCGCGGUAAAACGUAGGUCACAAGCGUUGUCCGGAAUUACUGGGUGUAAAGGGAGCGCAGGCGGGAAGACAAGUUGGAAGUGAAAUCUAUGGGCUCAACCCAUAAACUGCUUUCAAAACUGUUUUUCUUGAGUAGUGCAGAGGUAGGCGGAAUUCCCGGUGUAGCGGUGGAAUGCGUAGAUAUCGGGAGGAACACCAGUGGCGAAGGCGGCCUACUGGGCACCAACUGACGCUGAGGCUCGAAAGUGUGGGUAGCGAACAGGAUUAGAUACCCUGGUAGUCCACACCGUAAACGAUGAUUACUAGGUG
Molecule: ribosomal RNA, 684 nt
Filed under: uncultured bacterium
Lineage: Bacteria
Description: bacterial SSU rRNA
Rfam family: Bacterial small subunit ribosomal RNA
Source: RNAcentral